This 253-nucleotide ribosomal RNA is filed under the name uncultured bacterium. RNAcentral's name for it is "partial 16S ribosomal RNA". It matches the Rfam family "Bacterial small subunit ribosomal RNA", at positions 524 to 776 of the family's 1533-position model. The record is from RNAcentral.
UACGGAGGGGGCUAGCGUUGUUCGGAAUUACUGGGCGUAAAGCGCGCGUAGGCGGAUUGUUAAGUCGGGGGUGAAAUCCCGGGGCUCAACCCCGGAACUGCCUUUGAGACUGGCAAGCUGGAGUUCGAGAGAGGUGAGUGGAAUUCCGAGUGUAGAGGUGAAAUUCGUAGAUAUUGGGUGGAACACCGGUGGCGAAAGCGGCUCACUGGUUCGAAACUGACGCUGAGGCGCGAAAGUGUGGGGAGCAAACAGG